GGCAGGGUAGUUCAGUGGUCAGGGUGUCAGCCUAGGCCCUGAAAGACCUAGGAUCAAUUUCCUGCUCUGCCA
RNAcentral lists this transfer RNA (72 nucleotides) under Chelonia mydas (Green sea turtle). It matches the Rfam family "tRNA". From Rfam's summary of the family: Transfer RNA (tRNA) molecules are approximately 80 nucleotides in length. Their secondary structure includes four short double-helical elements and three loops (D, anti-codon, and T loops). Lineage: Eukaryota; Metazoa; Chordata; Testudines; Cheloniidae. The record is from Rfam by way of RNAcentral.